UGGCGGACGGGUGAGUAAUGUCUGGGAAACUGCCCGAUGGAGGGGGAUAACUACUGGAAACGGUAGCUAAUACCGCAUAACGUCGCAAGACCAAAGCGGGGGACCUCCGGGCCUCGCGCCAUCAGAUGAACCCAUAUGGGAUUAGCUAGUAGGUAAGGUAACGGCUUACCUAGGCGACGAUCCCUAGCUGGUCUGAGAGGAUGAUCAGCCACACUGGGACUGAGACACGGCCCAG
RNAcentral lists this ribosomal RNA (235 nucleotides) under uncultured bacterium. RNAcentral describes it as "partial 16S ribosomal RNA". It matches the Rfam family "Bacterial small subunit ribosomal RNA", at positions 96 to 334 of the family's 1533-position model. The record is from RNAcentral.